GACGAACGCUGGCGGCGUGCUUAACACAUGCAAGUCGAACGGAAAGGCCCUGCUUUUUUGGGGUGCUCGGGUAGCGAACGGGUGAGUAACACGUGAGUAACCUGCCCUUGACUUUGGGAUAACUUCAGGAAACUUGGUCUAAUACCGGAUAGGAGCUCCUGCUGCAUGGUGGGGGUUGGAAAGUUUCGGCGGUUGGGGAUGGACUCGCGGCUUAUCAGCUUGUUGGUGGGGUAGUGGCUUACCAAGGCUUUGACGGGUAGCCGGCCUGAGAGGGUGACCGGCCACAUUGGGACUGAGAUACGGACCAGACUCCAACGGGAGGCAGUAGUGGGGAAUAUUGCACAAUGGGGGGAAGCCUGAUGCAGCAACGCCGCGUGUGGGAUCAGGGUCUUUGGGUUGUAAAACGCUUUCGCCUGUGACGAAGCGUGAGUGACGGUAACGGGUAAAGAAGCACCGGCUAACUACGUG
RNAcentral lists this ribosomal RNA (468 nucleotides) under uncultured bacterium. Its description in RNAcentral is "partial 16S ribosomal RNA". It matches the Rfam family "Bacterial small subunit ribosomal RNA", at positions 28 to 507 of the family's 1533-position model. The record is from RNAcentral.